Molecule: ribosomal RNA, 468 nt
Filed under: uncultured bacterium
Lineage: Bacteria
Description: partial 16S ribosomal RNA
Rfam family: Bacterial small subunit ribosomal RNA
Source: RNAcentral
GACGAACGCUGGCGGCGUGCUUAACACAUGCAAGUCGAACGGAAAGGCCCUGCUUGUGUGGGGUGCUCGAGUGGCGAACGGGUGAGUAACACGGGAGUAACCUGCCCUGGACUGUGGGAUAACUUCAGGAAACUGGGGCUAAUACCUGAUAGGAGCGCCUGCUGCAUGGUGGGGGUUGGAAAGUUUCGGCGGUUGGGGAUGGACUCGCGGCUUAUCAGCUUGUGGGGGGGGUAGUGGCUUACCAAGGCUUUGACGGGUAGCCGGCCUGAGAGGGUGACCGGCCACAAUGGGACUGAGAUACGGCCCAGACUCCUACGGGAGGCAGCAGUGGGGAAUAUUGCACAAUGGGCGGAAGCCUGAUGCAGCAGCGCCGCGUGCGGGAUGACGGCCUUCGGGUUGUAAACCGCUUUCGCCUGUGACGAAGCGUGAGUGACGGUAAUGGGUAAAGAAGCACCGGCUAACUACGUG